AGCCUACUGGUUAUUUUAUAGUAGGUAACUCCUGCCCAGUGAGACAUUUAACGGCCGCGGUACCCUGACCGUGCAAAGGUAGCAUAAUCACUUGCCUUUUAAUUAAAGGCUAGUAUGAAUGGACAAACGAAAGUCUUUCUGUCUCUCUCAUGCUCAUAAAAAUUUACCUUCAGGUGAAGAGGCCUGAAUUUAUAUAAAAGACAAGAAGACCCUGUCGAGCUUUAAUCUUAAUAAACUAAAAACUCUAAAAAUGUUUAUCCUUAAUAACGAUUUUUGCUGGGGCGGCAAAGGAAUAAACCUAACUUCCUGUAAAAAUAAGAAAAUAAUUCCCUCUAAUGACCCAUACUAUGAUCAACAAAAACAGCUACCGCAGGGAUAACAGACUAAUUUUCCUCAAGAGCCCAAAUCUACAGGAAAGUUUGGCACCUCGAUGUUGGCUUAGGGAAUCUUUUAGAUGCAGCAGUCUAAUAAGAGGGUUUGUUCAACCCUUAAAUCCCU
RNAcentral lists this ribosomal RNA (498 nucleotides) under Eunice antennata. RNAcentral describes it as "partial 16S ribosomal RNA". It matches the Rfam family "Bacterial large subunit ribosomal RNA", at positions 1817 to 2597 of the family's 2925-position model. Lineage: Eukaryota; Metazoa; Annelida; Polychaeta; Eunicida; Eunicidae. The record is from RNAcentral.